RNAcentral lists this long non-coding RNA (629 nucleotides) under Dromaius novaehollandiae (emu). RNAcentral's name for it is "lncRNA (ENSDNVG00000007726.1)". Lineage: Eukaryota; Metazoa; Chordata; Aves; Casuariiformes; Dromaiidae. The record is from RNAcentral.
AAAAGCUUUUUUUUUUUUUAUGAUUCCAGGAAGGCCUUUGAGAGGCGAUAAAUGCGGGAGGUGACCUUCAAACCAUGACUGAUUUUGCAUCUUAAGCCUGCUUCGUUUUCAGCAGAAUACAUGCUCUCAGAUCUGUCAUGAGCUUCUGAAAAUCUCCGGUCUACUUGGAAUCUGAAUAUGAGCUGCAUGUAUUUGAUCUUAGUGAGAAGCUGUGACGAUUGCAUGUAGGUAUCUACAAAAGCUGGAUCUAAUGAAUUCAAAGAAAUAACAGACAACUUAUAAUGAAGAGAGAAAAAGCAGAAAAAACUCCAGAGAAGUGUUCUGAGGUAAUGAGUUUAAAAUGAUUUAAAGAUCACUGGAGACCUAAAAGGUACAGCUACUCUAGCUUGUUCCCAAUGAUCUGUUUGUUAAUCACUAAUAAUAUCCAUGGACCAAAACCCUCGAGUCUGCACUUUCUUGAUGGAGUUAACUGCUAUAAGGGCAUUGACUGAUUUGAUGAUGGAARGGGCUUUUGGUGACAGCUGCUAGAAGAAGGAUAAAUCAAAUGCACAGAAGAGUUUGAAGACCGAAAAUAUAUAUCCAUGAACCAGGAGGUAACCUUUAAAAUAUUACAGAACUUUGAGACUUCA